RNAcentral lists this ribosomal RNA (159 nucleotides) under Macaca arctoides (stump-tailed macaque). Its description in RNAcentral is "5.8S ribosomal RNA". It matches the Rfam family "5.8S ribosomal RNA". Rfam says of the family: 5.8S ribosomal RNA (5.8S rRNA) is a component of the large subunit of the eukaryotic ribosome. It is transcribed by RNA polymerase I as part of the 45S precursor that also contains 18S and 28S rRNA. RNAcentral also lists the same sequence under 5 other names. The record is from RNAcentral. Lineage: Eukaryota; Metazoa; Chordata; Mammalia; Primates; Cercopithecidae.
AAUGAAUCAAAACUUUCAACAACGGAUCUCUUGGUUCUGGCAUCGAUGAAGAACGCAGCGAAAUGCGAUAAGUAAUGUGAAUUGCAGAAUUCAGUGAAUCAUCGAAUCUUUGAACGCACAUUGCGCCCGCCAGAAUUCUGGCGGGCAUGCCUGUUCGAG